CUUCUCACAGUAUUCAAAGGGUCUGUGGCUAUUUAAAUUCAUUUUACAAAAUUAGGUCAAAGGAAAAACAGAAUGAAUUGAAUAACUUUAAUAGGAUUUUCUGGCUAAGGCUAAAGAUAAUCCUUUCUGUUAUCACCUGCCUCCAGCCCAGUUCUCUCCAUGCUAUUUCUGAAAUUGCUCUAUUUUCCUCACAAGUCAAUCUAUCUUUCAGCAGUCUCAGCCAGAACACUUCUUUUAGCCUAGUAUUCAAGUUUGUGGAGUGCUUUAAAACUAUACAGAGGAAUUUUUAUUUGGUCUUAUGAAAAAUAUGGAGCCCCUGGACUUUAAUGAGUAAGGUUGUAAUGUGGUCCUAUCAGAACCAAGCUGAGUGGUGGACUUACUGGAGGAAGAAGAGACUUCAGGCUGAAAUUCAGAGACCAUAGAGAUCAAGUCAUAGUAGUCUUAAGUUACAGGUGAUGAAGGUCUGAAUUAAGAUAGUAGUUGACUGAAUAAAGGAAAAUAACUGCAUGUGAGAGAUUUCCUAGGGGUAGAAAUAUCAAGAUUUGGCAACUAAUUUACUAUGUAAGAAGAAGAGGAGAAAUAAAGUAGAAUGCCACAUGAUAAACCAGAAAGCCUGAAAGAAUAGUGAUCCUUUCAGUAGACACGAUUAAGAAGAAGCUUGUUUAUUAAAGAAUGAGAAUUCCAGAGGCACAGUAGGAGUAAGAAGAGACUGGAUAAAACAUGAGAAGGAUAGAAACUGAGAGGAGGUAAUGGCAGAAGUAAGCAAAGAGGAGAGAAAGAAAGAGAAAAGCAUUUCAGGUUGGAGAAGUGAGAUGAUUUCCUGACAUGCGGCUGGUAAUUCAGAUUUGAAAAUCUUAUUGCCUCUUCUUUGAGGAGCCAAUAGUAACAUUGCUAUCAUUAGUCACUUGAGAUAAAGGUGAUGAGACCUUCAAUUUGAGAACUGAAGAACCUAUUUUCUCCAAUGAGAAAGUCUUCCCUAUCUAUUCCAUUUGACAGAGAUUUGACCUUUCCUUUAAUUUUUCUACUUAUUUGAUGUCAGCAUCAACAGUUAACAACAGCUCAUCACACAAGGGACCCAAUUAUGCUUCCGAACAGAGCCAGAAGAAAAGCAUCAUGAUUGACAGGAAAGGCUGAGGUCCCAAACAGAGAGUCAGGAGAAAAAAAGAAGUUCUUCCAAUAGCAUCAACUGAAAUGGAAGUCCAGCUGUUAGUCAAAGCUAAUACAUAGUACGAGGCCACCAGGAACAGAGAUGGGACAAUUGCGAAGAAUCAGGAAAAGCCAUAGAAGCAAAAUAAAGACAGGAGCUAACCUGUUUAAUAAAUGUCUGUUUGCCUUUCACUAAAGGGCAUAGUCAAAGCCAACAGAGAGUCCAGGU
Molecule: long non-coding RNA, 1375 nt
Organism: Sarcophilus harrisii (Tasmanian devil)
Lineage: Eukaryota; Metazoa; Chordata; Mammalia; Dasyuromorphia; Dasyuridae
Exons: 4
Source: RefSeq, a predicted model, not a curated record